GUCUUUUUGAAAUAAUUUAAAGUCUAAUCUGCCCACUGAUAAAAUUAAAGGGCUGCAGUAUAAUGACUGUACAAAGGUAGCAUAAUCAAUAGUUUUUUAAUUGAAAACUUGUAUGAAAGAUUUGAUGAAAUAUAAACUGUCUCUAAUUUAUAAAUAGAAUUUUAUUUUUUAGUAAAAAAGCUCAAAUAAAUUUAAAAGACGAGAAGACCCUAUAGAGUUUUAUAUUUAAUUUUAUUAAAAAAUUAUAUAAAAAUUAAUAUUUAAAUAAAAUUAAAUAUUAUAUUGGGGUGAUAGAAAAAUUAAAUUAACUUUUUUUAAAAAUUAAACAUAAAUAAAUGAUUAUAUGAUCCAUAAAUAAUGAUUAUAAGAAAAAAUUACCUUAGGGAUAACAGCGUAAUAUUUUUUUUUAGCUCAAAUAAAAAAAAAAGUUUGCGACCUCGAUGUUGGAUUAAGAUAAAAUUUAAAUGCAAAAGUUUAAAAGUUUUGAUCUGUUCGAUCAUUAAAAUCUUACA
RNAcentral lists this ribosomal RNA (512 nucleotides) under Melanargia lucasi. RNAcentral's name for it is "partial 16S ribosomal RNA". The stretch from base 385 to 512 matches the Rfam family "Archaeal large subunit ribosomal RNA", at positions 2542 to 2669 of the family's 2987-position model. The record is from RNAcentral. Lineage: Eukaryota; Metazoa; Arthropoda; Insecta; Lepidoptera; Nymphalidae.